GACGAACGCUGGCGGCGUGCUUAACACAUGCAAGUCGAACGGUGAAGCGCCUUCCUUUUUGGUGGGUGUGGAUGAGUGGCGAACGGGUGAGUAACACGUGAGUAACCUGCCCCCUUCUUCUGGAUAACCGCAUGAAAGUGUGGCUAAUACGGGAUAUUCUGGGUCUGUCGCAUGAUGGGUCUGGGAAAGAUAUUGUUUCGGUGGGGGAUGGGCUCGCGGCCUAUCAGCUUGUUGGGGGGGUGAUGGCCUACCAAGGCGGUGACGGGUAGCCGGCCUGAGAGGGUGGACGGUCACACUGGGACUGAGACACGGCCCAGACUCCUACGGGAGGCAGCAGGGGGGAAUAUUGCACAAUGGGCGCAAGCCUGAUGCAGCGACGCCGCGUGAGGGAUGGAGGCCUGCGGGUUGCGAACCUCUUUCGCCAGUGAAGCAGGCCUGCCUCGUUUGUGGGUGGGUUGACGGUAGCUGGAUAAGAAGCGCCGGCUAACUACGUG
RNAcentral lists this ribosomal RNA (494 nucleotides) under uncultured bacterium. Its description in RNAcentral is "partial 16S ribosomal RNA". It matches the Rfam family "Bacterial small subunit ribosomal RNA", at positions 28 to 507 of the family's 1533-position model. The record is from RNAcentral.